RNAcentral lists this ribosomal RNA (234 nucleotides) under Janthinobacterium lividum. RNAcentral describes it as "partial 23S ribosomal RNA". It matches the Rfam family "Bacterial large subunit ribosomal RNA", at positions 206 to 475 of the family's 2925-position model. The record is from RNAcentral. Lineage: Bacteria; Pseudomonadati; Pseudomonadota; Betaproteobacteria; Burkholderiales; Oxalobacteraceae.
GUAGCUGCAGGAAAAGAAAUCAACCGAGAUUCCCAAAGUAGCGGCGAGCGAAAUGGGAAGAGCCUGUACGUGAUAGUCGGACCGAUAACAGAAUCCUCUGGAAAUAGGAGCCAUAGUGGGUGAUAGCCCCGUAUGUGAAAUCGGACCGGUGGUACUAAGCGUACGACAAGUAGGGCGGGACACGUGACAUCCUGUCUGAAUAUGGGGGGACCAUCCUCCAAGGCUAAAUACUCG